GUCCAGUUGGUUAAGCGUCAGACUCUUGAUUUCAGCUCAAGUCACGAUCUCACGGUUUGUGAGAUCAAGUCCCACACAGGACU
This 83-nucleotide transfer RNA is filed under the name Felis catus (domestic cat). It matches the Rfam family "tRNA". Rfam says of the family: Transfer RNA (tRNA) molecules are approximately 80 nucleotides in length. The record is from Rfam by way of RNAcentral. Lineage: Eukaryota; Metazoa; Chordata; Mammalia; Carnivora; Felidae.